Long non-coding RNA from Xenopus laevis (African clawed frog), 842 nucleotides. RefSeq lists it as uncharacterized. The record is from RefSeq and is a predicted model, not a curated record. Lineage: Eukaryota; Metazoa; Chordata; Amphibia; Anura; Pipidae. The transcript is spliced from 2 exons.
UGUGACGCCUGCGUUUUGGCGCAUCAUGUCGGAUCUGCCAAAAACGCAUUUAGAUCGGCCGUGUAGUUAUACCCCAAAAAUGUAUUUGUACUGAAACGCAAGGAAAGAACCUGCCUUUUACGCAAUAUUACUGCAACUGGAAGCAAGUGACAAAGCAAUCAAUACUGCCUAGCUAUUAUAAGUAAUUAACACACACAGGAGAUGUCCCCUUUAAAUAAAAAUGUUUACUGUAUAUACUAUGAGGAGAUGGCAUAAUGCCAAAUUAUCAUGAACAUGGCAGUGGGUUAUCAAUAACUUUUGGGAAUAAGAAGCUUUAAUCCUGGGAACAAUGUGAUUACAGAGUGUAUAGAUGCAGCAGUAAUUGUGACCGCACGUAUAAGGGGUUAAAUCACAGUCGUACAGUUAUUUAUGUGCUUACACUACCCAUAUCCUACAUGAACAAACAUGUAGGAUAUGGAUUUUAUAUGUAGGGAAGACGGCAACCUUAACAUGAGCGCUUUUUCUUGCAGGGUAUCCGCACAUCUAUGAAGAAAUGAAACCUGUUUGCCAACAGUCAGAGAGAAUGAGGCGUUAACCCUUCCAUAGAGAGACUGUGAGGAUGCUCUGGGCCUGUCACAGCACUUCGGACUGUACCAUCUGUUGAGGCUCUCCACCCAUGAGUACAAUAUGGAGAGGAAGGACCUCAUUUUAGGCUCUGCCAGGAUCCCAUCUGCUAACAACCAACCCCACCCAAAGUCAAGCCAGAAAAAGACUACUUCUGGCUUUAAUAUAUAAAAGCAAUUACAGUGACAAUAUAUCUGCAGGACAAUACAAAUCUAUAAAAUAAAUAUACAUAAACCAUC